Myodes glareolus (Bank vole) is the source of this 582-nucleotide non-coding RNA. Lineage: Eukaryota; Metazoa; Chordata; Mammalia; Rodentia; Cricetidae. The record is from RefSeq and is a predicted model, not a curated record.
UGAAAAAGAUAUCUAAAAGUAGAUUUGUUAUCUCCUGAUGAGUAAAACUGGAUGUUUUGUGGUAUUCUUUUGGAUUUGUGGGAGGAUGGGAAUGAAUUCAAGAUUGCACAAGGAAGUGACUGAGUUAGCUACAGAAGGUGAACUUGGAGAGCAAUUGUCUCCUUCCCCAGGCUCCACGGUCUUGAUGGUCCAUUCUCUGCUGCCCUCUAGAGGUUCAUCAGCCAUCAUUGCAAAUGUCAGAAAAGGAAAUCUACUUAGGCAAAGCUUGCAGAAAACUCCUCUCCCCAUUCAAUAACAAAGAAAACAGCACAUCAUUUGUGGGGUAUAUAUUGAUAUCUAUAGUUCCUAUGAACCAUCUCCAGCCCAGUUUAAGAAGAAAUCAUUCUUACGGUCUUGGAGUCCGCCUCUUCAGAAGGGCACCCAGGGGAAUGCCACCCCCACAAGCUAGUUAUUUAAAGGAAUAAAAGCAGCUGCAAUAUGGUCAUUGCUGGUGUGUCUGCUGGAACGUCCCGCUUUAUUUUCUUUCUCAGAAACAAAAGCAAAGAUGCCCUGGUGAGCCAUACCUCUAAGCCUGUGUUUUUU